RNAcentral lists this ribosomal RNA (459 nucleotides) under Triticum aestivum (bread wheat). Its description in RNAcentral is "partial small subunit ribosomal RNA". The record is from RNAcentral. Lineage: Eukaryota; Viridiplantae; Streptophyta; Magnoliopsida; Poales; Poaceae.
AUGGCAGACAGCAGCAUGAGCAGGGACGAGAGGUGGAACCUGGCCGGCGCGACGGCGCUGGUCACCGGUGGCAGCAAAGGGAUCGGCCACGCGAUCGUGGAGGAGCUGGCGGGGCACGGGGCGCGGGUGCACACGUGCGCCCGGAGCGCGGCGGAGCUGGAGGAGUGCCGCCGCCGGUGGGAGGCCAAGGGGCUCCCGGUCACCGUCUCCGUCUGCGACGUCUCCCUACGCACCCACAGGGUGCAGCUCAUGGAGACGAUUAAGCAGGUCUUCGACGGCAAGCUCGACAUACUGCUAGGACCGGAGAUCAUAGAAAACGAGUUGGCCAGGACUCCGAUGCGGCGAGCAGGCGAGCCGGCCGAGGUGGCGACUGUGGUGUCAUUUCUAUGCAUGCCGGCGGCGUCCUUCGUCACCGGCCAAGUCAUCACCGUCGAUGGUGGUCGGACCAUUAGUGGUUAG